GAGGCUGUAACUCAGUGGCAGAGCGCUUGCCUAGCAGCUUGCCUAGCAUGUAUGAGGCACUGGGUUCAAUCCUCAGCACCACA
RNAcentral lists this transfer RNA (83 nucleotides) under Marmota monax (woodchuck). RNAcentral's name for it is "tRNA.Ala". The record is from RNAcentral. Lineage: Eukaryota; Metazoa; Chordata; Mammalia; Rodentia; Sciuridae.